Molecule: ribosomal RNA, 253 nt
Filed under: uncultured bacterium
Lineage: Bacteria
Description: partial 16S ribosomal RNA
Rfam family: Bacterial small subunit ribosomal RNA
Source: RNAcentral
UACGACGGGGGCUAGCGUUGUUCGGAAUUACUGGGCGUAAAGCGCGCGCAGGCGGCUAUCCAAGUCAGUGGUGAAAGCCCGGAGCUCAACUCCGGAACUGCCAUUGAAACUGUUUAGCUUGAGGACGAGAGAGGUGAGUGGAAUUCCCAGUGUAGAGGUGAAAUUCGUAGAUAUUGGGAAGAACACCGGUGGCGAAGGCGGCUCACUGGCUCGUAUCUGACGCUCAGGCGCGACAGCGUGGGGAUCAAACAGG